Molecule: long non-coding RNA, 1468 nt
Filed under: Lonchura striata (white-rumped munia)
Lineage: Eukaryota; Metazoa; Chordata; Aves; Passeriformes; Estrildidae
Description: domestica (Bengalese finch) lncRNA (ENSLSDG00000008249.1)
Source: RNAcentral
CGGCGCCCGGCUGGGCCGCGGCGGCGCCGGCGCCGUGCUGGCCGGGGCGCGCUCCAGCUUCGCCCAGGAGGGGCUGCGGUGGCUGCGGCAGGACCGGAGCGCCCUCAGCUGGAUGGAGCUGGCCUGCGUCUUCUACUGGUGAGCCUUCGUCUUCAUCCUCAUCUUCAUCUUCAUCUUCAUCCUGACCUUCAUCCUCAUCUUCAUCCUCAUCUUCAUCCUCAUCUUCAUCCUCAUCUUCAUCUUUGUCUUUGUCUGCGUCUUCUACUGGUGAGCCUUCGUCUUCAUCCUCAUCAUCCUCAUCUUCAUCCUCGUCUUCAUCUUCAUCUUUAUCUUUGUCUUUGUCUUUAUCUGCGUCUUCUACUGCUGAGCCUUCAUCACCUUCGUCCUCAUCCUCAUCAUCCUCAUCUUCAUCCUCAUCUUCAUCUUUGUGUUUAUCUGCGUCUUCUACUGGUGAGCCUUCAUCAUCCUCAUCAUCCUCAUCUUCAUCUUCAUCCUCAUCUGCAUCUUCUACUGGUGAGCCUUCAUCACCUUCAUCCUUGUCUUCAUCCUCAUCUUCAUCUUUGUCUUUGCGUCUUCUACUGGUGAGCCUUCCUCAUCCUCAUCAUCCUCAUCUUCAUGCUCAUCUUUGUGUUUAUCUGCGUCUUCUACUGGUGAGCCUUCGUCACCUUCAUCCUCAUCUUCAUCCUCGUCUUCAUAGUCAUCUUCAUCCUCCUCUUCAUCCUCAUCUUCAUCUUCAUCCUCAUCUUCAUCUUUGUCUUUAUCUGCGUCUUCUACUGGUGAGCCUUCGUCACCUUCAUCUUCAUCUUCAUCCUCAUCUUCAUCCUCAUCUUCAUCCUCAUCUUCAUCCUCAUCUUCAUCUUUGUGUUUAUCUGCGUCUUCUACUGGUGAGCCUUCAUCACCUUCAUCUUCUUCAUUCUCCUCAUCUUCAUCUUCAUCUUCAUCUUUAUCUGCGUCUUCUACUGGUGAGCCUUCGUCACCUUCAUCUUCAUCUUCAUCCUCGUCUUCAUCUUCAUCUUUGUCUGCGUCUUCUACUAGUGAGCCUUCAUCGUCCUCAUCAUCCUCCUCUUCAUCCUCCUCUUCAUCCUCAUCUUCAUCCUGACCUUCAUCCUCAUCUUCAUCUUUGUGUUUGUCUGUGUCUUCUACUGGUGAGCCUUUGUCUUCAUCCUCAUCCUCAUCAUCCUCACCUUCAUCCUCAUCUUCAUCUUCAUCUUUGUCUGCGUCUUCUACUGGUGAGCCUUCGUCAUCCUCAUCAUCCUCCUCUUCAUCCUGACCUUCAUCCUCAUCUUCAUCCUCCUCUUCAUCUUUGUGUUUAUCUGCGUCUUCUACUGGUGAGCCUUCGUCACCUUCAUCCUCAUCUUCAUCUUCAUCGUCAUCCUCAUCUUCAUCUCCGUCUUUCUCUUCAUCAUCUUCAUCCCAAACCCCCAAAAAUCCCCUCCCCCACCCUGACCCCUGNNNNNNNNNNNNNNNN